RNAcentral lists this ribosomal RNA (426 nucleotides) under uncultured bacterium. Its description in RNAcentral is "bacterial SSU rRNA". It matches the Rfam family "Bacterial small subunit ribosomal RNA", at positions 30 to 454 of the family's 1533-position model. The record is from RNAcentral.
AUUGAACGCUGGCGGAAUGCUUUACACAUGCAAGUCGAACGGCAGCACGGGAGCUUGCUCCUGGUGGCGAGUGGCGAACGGGUGAGUAAUGCGUCGGAACGUACCGAGUAAUGGGGGAUAACGCAGCGAAAGCUGUGCUAAUACCGCAUACGCCCUGAGGGGGAAAGUGGGGGAUCGCAAGACCUCACGUUAUUCGAGCGGCCGACGUCUGAUUAGCUAGUUGGUGGGGUAAAGGCCUACCAAGGCGACGAUCAGUAGCGGGUCUGAGAGGAUGAUCCGCCACACUGGAACUGAGACACGGUCCAGACUCCUACGGGAGGCAGCAGUGGGGAAUUUUGGACAAUGGGGGCAACCCUGAUCCAGCCAUUCCGCGUGAGUGAAGAAGGCCUUCGGGUUGUAAAGCUCUUUCAGCUGGAACGAAACGGU